This is a long non-coding RNA of Ruditapes philippinarum (Manila clam), 10619 nucleotides long. RefSeq lists it as uncharacterized. The transcript is spliced from 3 exons. NCBI's taxonomy places the organism in Eukaryota, Metazoa, Mollusca, Bivalvia, Venerida, Veneridae. The record is from RefSeq and is a predicted model, not a curated record.
CUUAAAAAAUGUUCUUUUAAAAAAAAACGAAAUAGCUAGAGCUUAGAUAUUAAGCAUGAAACAUCUUCUAGUAGAUGUCUACUAAGUUUGUUCAAAUAAAAACCGUAGGUUAAGAAUUGGCCUCGCCCCAGGGGGUCAUUGGAAUUUCCUUAUUUGUAUAUAGUUAAAACUUUAAAAAUCUAGAGCUAGAGCUAAGAUAUUUAGCAUGAAACAUCUUGUUAAAGGUGUCUACCAAGUUUGUUCAAAUAAGGGCCCUUGGGUUAAAAUUGGCCCCACCCAGGGGGUUAUUGAUUUCCCAAGGUAUAUGUGUAUAGUAAAAACUCAAAAAAUCUUCUGAUAAAAAACCCAAUGAGCUAGAGUUUAGAUACUAAGCAUGAAAUAUCUUCUAGUGAGUGUCUACCAAGUUUAUUCAAAUAAAAGCCCAUGGGUCAAAAUUGGCCCCUCCCAGGGGGGGGAGGGGUCAUUAUUUUUCCCUAUAUUCACAAAUAAUACUAAUUAUAUUUAAAAGAAACAAAAACUUUCGAAAGAAAAACAUAAAUCAUGAAUGUAUUGUAAACAGUUAGUCGUUUCAGUCCAGCUUUAGUUGUGUCCCCUAGUUAAUCAAAUGCCAAUUUUUUCUCUCUUCUUGGCCAUUCUAUAUACAGUGCAGGAUUUUAAAUUGAUUUUGGGCUUGUGUGGGUUAUUUAAUUCAGCGAGGUUUACAUGUCACAGAUAUGUGUGUGAAUUUUUAGUUUAUUUAUACUCUCCACCGGUUGCCCAUGUGACAGUUAUAAUAUGAAUUUGAGAUUUUGGAAACAAUUUGAUGUCUGCCUGAUGGACAGGUAAAACAACAAAAGAGCAGAUAAACGCUAACCGGUGCAUGUUUUUCACCAAACUCCUCACAGUGAUUACCUCCCUUGGCUGAAUUGUAAUCACUGCCUUCACAGACGAUGAUGAAAGUCACAUGAUGUAACGUCGAAAUUCAAAUGUAAAUAUUGACCGUUAAAUAGAAAAUCUAACGUCAUUUUUCUCUUUCUGUUUUAUUUUUAAUUUUUUACACCUAUGUCUGUUAUAUCUUAUUAAAAAAUUAUCAAAAGUAUAAAAAAUAAUGAAAAAUAAAUUAAAAAGCUAAAAAAUAUAAAUAUCAAAAUAUUGAUAUUUCAAUGUUUGUGAUGGCAGAGAUCUCUGUACUGAUAAGGGGAGAUCAUUGCGUAGGAGAUUGGUUUUUCACACCUUUAUGCACUCAUAAAUGUCCUAAUUACAAUUGCUUAUUGUACUUGACUGUCCAUUUGAACAAGCGUUAUAGCGCCCUAUAAAUCUAGAUCUACAUGAAUUUUAAAAAAAAUUUCUUUUGGGAGCCAAGGUCUAUGAGCGCUUUACUGAGAUUAGCAUUAUAACAGAGAGCGAUACAUUGAGGCUACAGUGUAUAUAGUAAAAACUUAAAAAAUCUUAUUAAAACCCCAAAGAGCUAGAGCUUAGAUAUUUAUCAUGAAACAUCUUCUAAUUGGUGUCAACCAUGUUUGUUCAAAUAGUUUAAAACUGGCCCAGUGGCCUAUAUACAGGUGAGCGGUUUCAGGGCCAUCAUGGCCCUCUUGUUUAAUACUUUCCUGUGUCCAAACCUUAUCGGGGGAGCAUCACCCAGUUCAACCGGUUCUUGUUUACAGAAAUAAUUAAUAACAAUUAUUUUCCGUAAAAGUAGAUAUUAUGUAUUUGUUUCACUUCAAAUCUUGAGUGGUCUACACAGUCAUGAAUAGUGCUCGGACCUGGUACUUUUGAUUCAGUUUUUCUAGUUAAUAUUCAAAUUUUGACUCACCUAUUAACCUUUCACCCAAUGAGCAUAAAUAUGAAAAUGGCCGUUUUCAUUGAAAAGCCUCCUGUUACAAGUUCCAACUGCUAUAAAAGUAUGAAAAAAUGCUUCAAUACUGAUGAAACUUGGCACAUGUGUUGACAGAACCAUAAACUCUGUAACAACAUGCUCAAUCUUAAAUUUCCUGUUACCACGGCAACAAGGGGACAUCUCAAAAUUGUGAAAAAUCACUAUUUUGCAUUGUUUUUUGUGCCCCCACUUAGUGGCGGGCAUUUACAUUUACCCUUGUCCGUCCGUCCUUCCGUCCGUCCGUUCUCUUUUGUGUCGCACGUACGGUAACUCAAAAUGUAUUUGACCUAGAGUCAUGAAACUUUACAGGAAUGUUGAUCAGCAUGUGUAGUUGUGCACCUGGGUAUUUUCGUCUGGAUAUAUUUAGUACCCUUGACUUAGUAAAAUUUUGCAAUUUUCAACUUGUGUCGCAUGUAACUCAAAAAGUAUUUGACCUAGAGUCAUGAAACUUUACAGGAAUGUUGAUCAGCAUGUGUAGUUGUGCACCUGGGUAUUUAUGUCUGGAUAUUUUUAGUAUUUUUAGAGUUAUUGCCCUUGACUUAGUAAAAUUUUGCUUGUGUCGCAUGUAACUCAAAAAGUAUUUGACCUAGAGUCAUGAAACUUAAAAGGAAUGUUGAUCAGCAUGUGUAGUUGUGCACCUGGGUAUUUUCGUCUGGAUAUAUUUAGUACCCUUGACUUAGUAAAAUUUUGCAAUUUUCAACUUGUGUCGCAUGUAACUCAAAAAGUAUUUGACCUAGAGUCAUGAAACUUUACAGGAAUGUUGAUCAGCAUGUGUAGUUGUGCACCUGGGUAUUUAUGUCUGGAUAUUUUUAGUAUUUUUAGAGUUAUUGCCCUUGACUUAGUAAAAUUUUGCUUGUGUCGCAUGUAACUCAAAAAGUAUUUGACCUAGAGUCAUGAAACUUAAAAGGAAUGUUGAUCAGCAUGUGUAGUUGUGCACCUGGGUAUUUUCGUCUGGAUUUAUUUAGUAUUUUUAGAGUUAUUGCCGUUGGCUUAGUAAAAUUUUGCAAUUUUCAACUUGUGUCGCAUGUAACGCAAAAAGUAUUUGACCUAGAGUGGAAUAUUGAUCAGCAUGUGUAGUUGUGCACCUGGGUAUUUUUAUCUGGAUUUAUUUAGUAUUUUUAGAGUUAUUGCCCUUGACUUAGAAAUUUUUUGCAAUUUUCAACUUGUGUCGCAUGUAACUCAAAAAGGAUUUGACAUAGAGUCGGGAAGGUUGCUCAGCAUAUUUAGUUUUGUGGAUUUAUCCAGUAUUUGUAGAGAUAUUUCCCUUGACUUUGUAAAAACUGUUUCAUUAUGUUAUUAUUUGUUCUUGAGUGCUUGAGUUAGAAUCAACCAACUUUACAGGAAUAAUGAUCAACAUCACUAAAUUACAGGAAUAAUGAUUCAUAUCACUGUGAAGCUAUGCACCUGGGACUUUUUUUUCAGUUUUGUUAGAGUUAUUGCCCUUGACUUACAGUAGUAUAAAUUUGCAAUUUUCAACUUGUUCAUGCAUAGCUCAAAAAGUAUUUCAGUUGUAGGCCUGAAAGUUUACAAGAAUGUUGGUCAGCAUGUGUACUUAUGCACCUUGGGGUUUGCUUGUGGAUUUAUUCAGUAUUUGUAAAGUUCUUGCCCUUUACUUAGUAAAAGAUUUUUAGUUUUCAAAAAAAAUUUGACCUAGAGUCAUAAGAUUGACAGAACAGUGUCGCGGUGGGGGCACCUGUGUCCUAUGGACACAUUUCUAAUUUCCAUCAAAACUGAUUUCAAAGUGCUGCACUUCUCAAUGCAAUGAGAUAGAGUAAAAGGCUUUUCAACGUUGGUUACACAUCACCUUAAGAUCAACCUGAGGCCAUUUUUAGCCUGUCACAUGUCCAAAAUGUUCUUGGCGAUGAGGGGGACUAGCGCCCCCACCUCAAACCCCCCAAACAGAAUGGGGCACAUCCCCCUUCUGUCAACCCCCUGAUGUAUAAUUUUGAUGGGGGACGCGCCGAAAAAGUGGUCACUUUUAACAACAUUUCUCAAACGAAAAACAGUGUUUGGGGCCUAAAUAGGGCAUUUUUUUACUGUUUGAGGCCUCAAAAAGGGGGGGGGGGACAAAAAGCCGUCAAAACAUGUCUAUAUGAGGGAAAAGGUUAAAGCUGAUGAAAUCUCAGGAGCUAUGAAUAUUGUAAGUGCUUCAUUGAUUCGAAUUUGCCUUGGACCAUUGGAAGAGAAACUGGAGUCUGACUGGCAUUUGGUGGCUUGAAGCAGCCUAUUGUUUUACACAUGAAUUAAUUCAUGAAUGUUCAUUUUACUUCAUUUUAAAAUUUUUAGAUUUGCCACUACUUGCCAGCUAUUUCCACUGAAAAGGGUGGCAUUAAGUGUAAAAAAGGUGCCAUUAACUGGAAAAUCACAAAAUUCCACUCUUUUUCCACUGAAGUGGCAAAAUUACCACCAAAUGGCACUAUCCGUUGUUGGCAUUUAGGUGGCAUUGAGUGGAAAUUUGAACAUAGACUUUUUUUAUGGUGGCAUAAGGGUGGAAAUUGGUGAAAAAUGAAACUUAGUUUAUUUUGAAAGUGGAAAAUGAGUGGCUUUUAGUGGAAAAGUGAAACUCUAACUAUUUUCUGGGUGGCAAAUAUGUGGAAAAAAACUUAGAAAAUUUUGUGAAUAACUUUAAGUCGAAAAGGGAAACGCUUAACUAUUUUCUGGGUGGCAUAAAAAUUGGUGGAAAAAACUGAGAAAUCAUUGCGCAUUGCAGGAUUGAAGAUUUAUUUAAGUCAAGCUCCAAACUGAAAUAAAUCUGUUUCUAGUUUUUACUCUACCAAAGCAUCAAGUGAACUUUUUAUCAAAAAUAUAAUUUAUUAAAGUUGAACAGUUAGAAAAUUUAUCAGAAACGGGUUUUUUUUAAAAAUCUUUUAUAUGCAAUACUAGAAUGCCAUGAACACAAUUCUGAUACAAAAUCACUGCCUGUUAUUAAGGUAUGAUAAUUCAAGCUGUAAAGUAGCAGGAAAAGACGGAAAUUGGACAUAAAAUCACUUUUCCAGGCAUAAAACACACAUAAUUAAGAUCAGGAAAAAUUAGAAAAGCAUGGGGUUACUUAACUUUCCAUUUUUUAAGGCAGUACUUUUCUUUAGGGAUGUUAAAUUUGACUUCAAGUCAGAAAUGCCUAUGUUCCAUUCUAUGCUUGUAAAAUAAAAUUAUGGCUGUAAAAGUGUACUUAGUUUUUUUAGUUGCAAUCUGUACAUUAUAUAGUUGAAAUGUUCUUCUAUGCCCAGAAAAUGCAUUUCUCUGUAUAAAGUUUGUUGCUACUUCUAUGACAUUUAAUGUCGAUCUUGAAUAAAGUUUGACUUUGGUCUUUUCUUCUAAUUGAGAUUUGUCUCUUUAUUAUCCUUAAACUGAUAUCUGGUGAGUACUAACACUUUUAAUGUUAUGCUUACAAUAAUUAAAGUGAAAAAUACAAAGGGCAAUAACUCCAAAAGUAUGCAAAAGAGUUAUGGUUCUUAAAUAUAGCACAUUACUCAAUAAGAUCUAUAUCUGUGAAGUUUCAAAUUAAUAUCUCCAUACUUUUUAAGCUUAAUGAUCAAGACAAAAAAAAAUUAAGCAGAGAAGUAAAAAAUGGCAGUAAACCCCAAAUCAUGCAAUAAAAAGUGAUGGUUCCUAGGCAUUGUUGGCAUCCGCGCCGAAGCGCGACGCCCCUUAUGGAAUGAAAUCAGAUUUUGUGAAAGGGCAAUUGCAACUUCUCGGGCCUUUUCGUCUGUCAUAAUAGCCGAUCAUUCCGAUUGGUAUGAGGGUGUUUGAUUAUCAAAAAUGAAAUGUCGGGAUAUGUACAAUGAAUUGCGAACUGGAGAAUUUCGCAAUGCAAACAUAUUCAAAUGAAAUUGUCUUAUCCGUCAAUUAAUCGCGCUCUUUGUGUUUUUUAUUAAUCAUGUGGGUUAUUAUGUAUGUUACUGCUGUACCUAUAAAUAUAAUGAUGACCUUAACAUUGUGAAAGUCCGAAAAUCUAUUUAUAGAAGUAGUUUUAGUUAAACAAAACGAUCAUUCGUGUCGCACUAUGGUAAUAAAUAACGAACUGGAUAAUUUUGCAGGAAAUGAAAUAAUUUUGAAAUUGUCUUUUCCACAUGUCUCUCCGGUUUUCUUUUUUACGGCCCUGAUUGCACUUAUGACAUUUUUAUCGUGAAUAUUUAAAUAGACCUAGUUCAUAACUUUAAAUGUCGCUUUUAUUAACAGGUCUAGCAGUAGUAUUCUAUAGUUCAAGUCUAACUGUUCUAUAUUUUUGUUUGAAGGCAAUUGAUUUUAUGGUAGUUUGAGUGGAAUGUUCACUUGCCGAAUAUUGUGACAAUUUGACAACAGAAACUUUCGUUUGCAAUUUUAACACAAGUUUUUAUAGGUUUAUUGAUAGGAAUGUAUACACACUGGUGGGUCAGAUGAUGUUUUUGAAGUAAUUCAUUAAAAUAGUAGAUUGACCUCCCAAUAAAUCAAUUAACAGACUUUGUUCAUUUGACUACUAUUUUGUUACAUGUUCCAAAGAAAAUACCACAUGAACUUGAAAUUCUAUCAAAUAUCAAAUAUUAAUGAUGAUAUCCAAAAAUAUCCCCUAUAUAAUAUAAAUAAAUUUCUAUCAUAUUGGGGGUAUAUGUUGGAUAUUAUAGACCUGUAUAUUUUGGAUAUUAUCGUUAAUAUUGAUAGAAUUUCAAGUUCCUGUGAAAAAAAAAUUCUGAUCUCUAGCAUGCCUACCAAAGUUCAUGAUGAACAAUGUCUGUUGUCUGCCCAUUCAUAAAUGAUAUACAAUUCUGGUAAACCCCAAUUAACCAUUGAAAAGUAUAAGAAUAUCUGGUCAUCAGAUGUCUACUUAAGUUCAUCUUCACUUGUUGCAUUUCUUGCUUGGACGCCCUUUGAUGCUUUGCAUCAAUGCUUUUCUUGUACUUCUCAUAAAUGAGAUUUAGUUAUAUGUGGAGUUUAAAAUUAUUGUCUCUAACAUCUUUUGUGCUAUGCUUUGCAGACGAAACCUUACAAAGGGCAAUAACUCCAUAACUUUGCAGGAGAGAGUUAUGUAUUUUUAAGGAAAAAAAACAUGAAUCAAACUUGUUAACAAUAAUAUUUAAAUGCUAUUUAAUAAAUAUACAUAUAAAAUAGAUUAGCUUACAAGAUAAUGAAGCACUGUGCUUGCUAAUUAUACCUCACUCUAAGUAACCAAGUCUGUGUAUGAAAAUAAGUCAUACACAAUAGUAUGCCUUUCAGAGGCUUUAAAUCUAUUGUAAAAAUAAUUGUGUGAAAAGUAAAUAACUCAUAAUGUCUGAUAAUUUCUUAUAAUCAGGAUAAGUAAAUACUAGCUAGUAAAUACUGCAUCCUCUAAGAUUUAACAUUACACAGCAUACAAAACAGAUCUGAUAAAACUACUGCCCUCUUAUCUAGUAAUCUAUGCAUGGGGGUUAAUAGUUUACUCAUGCUGACCAGACUGUUCCAUUUGAUUAUUUUGUGAGAGGCAACAUUACACAUGUUAUUAUGUAGAAUCUGUGUUAAAAUAGCAUGCUAAAUUAUCUUUCAAAAACUUAUUUCUACUCAAACUAUUUAGGUAUUAGACAUAGUUUAUACAUUCAAAUGAAUGUAAAAAAUAAAAUGAUGGGUGCUAUGGUUUUUGGAUAACCCCUCACAAUUUAAAAUUAUAAUGGACUCUCCAUGCAGUUACAAAGUUGUAACGUUUGAAUUCAAAGGAAUUGAGGUCAGUUAAAGCUUGCAAACACAAAGGAAAUUAUUGGUAUUGUAGCAAUUCUGGAGAUAUUUUGUUUAAAAUGUAAGGGUGAAUAUUUGAUUUCUCAAAGAAUACAUUAAAAGUCUUAUUAGUGUGGUAAAUAGAAAUGAGAAGUUUUAGAUGAAGUGUGAAUGUGUAGAUUAUAACAUUAGACAAGGAGAUAAACAGCACUAUCAUUCCAAGUCAAAGUUUCAGGUAAACAACUUUUACGUACAAUAAUUAUUGUUAUUGAUGCAGAAACUGUUUUUUAACAGUAAAAAUAUGAAGUGGUAUUGUAUAAAAUUAUGUUUUAUAUUUGUUUUGUUUGUAACUUGACUAAAAAAGAAAGCUGCAUGUACCAGACUAAACAAUUAUAGAAAUUAAUCAGUAAGUACAAUAACAUUAUGUACAAUAUUACAUCAAUCAAACUAUAGAUAACCAGGUACCUAUUACUACAACUUUCAUGCUAUAAACAUUUUUCCUUGUGUGUCAGUAACUGUUCUUUUAGUAAGUUUCAUUCCUUCAUUGUUGUAAUUCAUUUUUCAUAGUGCAGUAUAGAUAUAUAACCAUCACUAGACAGUCUAGAGUAACAAGCUGUUAGGAGAUUCAGUUCAUAACAGAAACAGCAUUAAAUAAGAUUUUUCUUUCGCAGACACAAAGCAAUAAGGAGCAGCCUGGAGCAACGCGCUUGUUCUUCAGUGGCUUUACAAAGGUUACAUCUUGCUUUGUUUCUCAGUUAAUUCAAAGAUUUUAGAAUUGAUAGGAAAGAAGUGUCACAGGACCAAGUGAUGGCAGAACUGAAUCCAUAUUCCUCAAAUGAGAAAGGUACAGCAAGGCUCUUCAGAAUGCUAUUCAAUAUACAUGUAGAAGAGAUUAAAAGCUGCUCAUUGUUUGGCAUGAGGAAAGGGAACAGAGAGUCUGACGCCAGACCUGCUUGUGCAGACAAGGCAUAAGUUAAGUUCUUGGAAGAUUGUGCGCAGGAAAAGUGGCCGACAACCCAAAGGACUGAAAUCCAUAGGGUGAUUCUGCACCUCCUCAAACUGUCCAGGAAUAGCAAGAUAAACUGAAGAAAAUAAAUGGACUAAUGUUUUGCUAUUUUUUGAGACAAUAAUUUCAUAUGGAGACAUUAAAAAGGAUUAUUUUUAAAAUUUGUUUGUUUCUCUUUUAUGGUACAGGGUGACUUUCAAGCAGUUUCCAGCUAUUGCCACCCACAAGGUGGAAAAUUUCUGAAAGGGUGAAAAUAGGUGGCAUUUAGUGAAAACUGAAUUUGCCACUUUUAGGUGGAAAAAUGGUGGAAAAGUGUCUAAAUACUCCACCAACUUUCCACCCUAAUGGUGGCAAAAGGUGGAAAUAAGUGGCAUUUUGUGGAAAAUGAGUUUGCCAGUGAAUGGUGGCAUUAUGGUGGAAAUUCGUCUAAAUACUCCACCAAUUUUCCACCCUGAUGGUGGCGAUAAGUGGAAACAAGUGGCAAAUAGUGGAAAAUGAGUUUGCCACCCUAAGGUUGCAUAAUGGUGAAAGUUUGUCUAAAUACUCCACCAACUUUCCACUCAUUGGUGGCAUUUAGUGUACAAAAGGUGAAUUUACUGGAAAAUUCUCUACCAUCAGUCCUGCUCAAAUUUUUCACCAUUUUCAUGAUUUGGGUGGUGUUUUGGUGGCAUUAUUGGUGGAAAAUUGUCUAAAUACUCCACCAUUGAAAAGGGUGGCAUUGAAGUGGCAAAUCUAGGGACGGGACUACAGCAAUGUGGAUCAAUAACCUGAAUUAUUUUUUCAUUCAAAUAUCAUAAUCUUAGUUAUCUUUUAGCUUUGUUAAAGCAAUUUAAAUGGGUUACAAGGUUUGAACUUACUACUUUCAGGCUGCAUUUGUACUCUGAUGAACAAUAGCGGCAUUUUGCUUUAAAAUUCCCACUUGUAUGCUUUGGUAAUAUCAAAGAUUUAUAUAACAGGGAUCGGAUACUCCCAGUUAACCGUAUAUAAAUGCUCAAAUAUCUUGUUGCGCACCCGAUAAUGGUAUUUGCGGGCGCUAAGCGUGAAUGCCCGUUCGCAACAGAUAUCUACUAUACAAAAUACCAUAUAGCUUUUCCAUUUAUUAUUUAAAGUUUAUUUUGAAGAAAAAUACAUGUUUAAUACAAAUAUCUAAUUUAACUCUGCAGUUCUUAUUUUUUGAGUUAUUGCCCUUUGUUAAUUUUCAUACUUUAAUUUUGUCCGGGCCAUUUCUCUUCAACUAAAAAAGCUAUGGACUUGAAACUUCAUAGGAUGAUAGAUCUCAUUAUUAAGAAGUGCAGUGCACAAGAACCAGUACUCUGCACUUCCUAAUUUUUGAGUUAUUGCCCUUUGUUAAUUUUCAUACUUUAUUUUUGUCCGGGCCAUUUCUCCUAAUGUAUAAAAGCCAUGGACUUGAAACUUCAUAGGAUGAUAGGUCUCAUUAAGAAGAAGUGCAGUGCACAAGAACUGGUACUCUGCAUUUCUUAUUUUUUGAGUUAUUGCCCUUUGUUUAUUUUCAUACUUUAAUUUUGUCCGGGCCAUUUCUCCUUAAGUAUAAAAGCUAUGGACUUGAAACUUCAUAGGAUGAUAGAUCUCAUUAUUAAGAAGUGCAGUGCACAAGAAUCGGUACUCUGCAUUUCUUAAUUUUUGAGUUAUGGCCCUUUGUUAAUUUUCAUACUUAAUUUUUGUCCAGGCCAUUUCUCCGAACGUAUAAAAGUUAUGGACUUGAAACUUCAUAGGAUGAUAGAUCUCAUUAAAAAGAAGUGCAAUGCAUAAGAACUGAUACUCUGCAUUUCUUAUUUUUGAGUUAUUGCCCUUUGUUGAUUUUCUUACUUUAUUUUUGUCCUGGUCAUUUCUCCUCAAGUAUGAAAGCUAUGGACUUGAAACAUCAUAGAAUGAUAGAUCUUAUUGAUAAGAAGUGCAGUGUACAGAAACUGCUGCUCUGCACUUAUUAUUUUUUUAGUUAUUGCCCUUUGUUAUUUUUCAUAUUUCAUUUUUGUCCUGGCCAUUUCCCCUAAACUACAUUGUUCACAAGGCGACACAUCCGACUCGCGGAGUUCUAGUUUGACAUAAGGUAUGCACAUGUCUUUUGUAAAAAUCAUU